GGGGGACGAAGUCGAACUGAACACCUCCAUCGUGGUGUCCCCCGGGCAACGCUUGCAAAAGCGGCUAACGUUCAG
Molecule: ribozyme, 75 nt
Filed under: marine metagenome
Description: HDV ribozyme from F. prausnitzii
Rfam family: HDV ribozyme from F. prausnitzii
Source: Rfam by way of RNAcentral